GUUUGUAAACAGAGCAGUACCACUACCGGGCACCGGCUCACAGUUUCGUAAUUCGUAGUUUCGUACUGUUACCUGAUGCCGGCCUUCGCUGUAGACGGCAACUUGGACUCUUGGAGAUGACCCGGCCGCUCUCGAAUGCCCUCAACGGGCUGAAAAAAGCACUGUCAGAUGGUUUGCCGGCCAACAAACUGAACCCGCUGGUCAACACCGUCUGUGCAAUUACGGAAGACUUGUUCAACAGCCGGGCCGAAGAGGAGCUAGGGUUUGACGUGGCAUCUUUCUUUGACCAUAAUGGCGUUCUCUACAUGCUUCAACAUUGUGAAAUAAAUGUUUCAAUAAAAAAACGACUAUUGAAUUGUUUUAAAAUAAUACUAAAACUGCAAUGUCCAUACUUGGAGUGCUACACAAAUGAAAUUUGGACGUUUUUUAAUAAUUACCUGUAUGCAACAAAAGAUGAAGAAUUUGAUGAGAAUUUAUAUUUUGACAUAUGCAACGCUUUACCCAACUCGAGAUGUGAAAUAAUACAAAAUUUCAACCUCUUCAUUCAUCAAAUACUUCCUACUUUUUAUGAUAGACGAAUUGAAAAAAUGAAAAUUUUAUGCACACUAUUGAAAUGUUUUCCUGAAAAGAACAGUAUGAACAAAGAAGACACAGGAUUUAUAUUUGCUAUGCUUAUUAGUCAAGAUAAUUGGAGUAAAGAUACUGUUCAUUUUAUCCUAACGAGUUUGCACUUGUUGAAAGGAAACAGUUUUUAUCACUCUUUGUUUAACUCACAAUUAAAACAUAUUUUUAAUCAAAUGACUGAAUGGUUGGAAGCUGAGAAGAUUUUUAAUAGACAAAUUGCAGAUUCCUGGACGUUAUUCAUCAAGGACAACUUUAAAAAAUUCAACACACAUAUUUUUGGAAACACCCGGUGGUUCACGCAAAUGGAAAGAAUAGUUAACAGUCCUAAUGAAAAUAUUAAAUUUUCAUUGAAAGCGCAAUGUGCCCAACAGUACUUCAAGUGCCUUCUAAAACAGGAUAAUGACGAUCAGUUGCUGCGUUAUUAUAAAAUGUUUCUUAAAGAAUUUGAAAACAAACAAGUUCCUUUGAGACUAUUCUCAGUUCACUUUUUAAAAUUAUUCAUACCUUGGAAGUACGACACGAUUCCACCUGAGGAUCAAGUUAUUUUUAAUGACAUGUUGAUUAACCAUUUGUAUUGGAGGUUUGGAUCUGAUGAGUACUCGUUCCCUCUUGGUGACUAUUUGGAACUUAUGUCAUUAUUCUUUUUGAAAUGUCGAAACUCAUUUCAUGCAAACUCAUUCUUCUACAAAAAUAUACUUUUUCAAACGAUUAUGUUAUAUCCAAAAUCUGAUUGCAAAGAAGAGCUUGGAAAUAAUAUUAUUGCAUCUCUUUACAUUUUUGACCAACUGUCAGGAAACAUCGAUAGUAUAGUACACGGAUGUAUAAUCAAACAGUGUUCUCACAAAUGGGUUGGCAAUUAUGAACAGGAGAAGAAGAAAAUUCAGUUUAAUACUUAUCAUCAAUAUGUUUCUUUCUGGAUACAUAUUAUGUGUUUUCAAUGCGAAAACACUACAAUAGAAAUUCCUCAAAAAGAUAGGGACAUUUUUUGUCAAAAAUUAUUGUCAUCGUUUAUAAAAUUGCUUGAACAAGGAUUCGAAAUGAGUUUAGAAUCAGACUUUACGAAGAGUCGAAAUAGUCAAGAAUUCACUGAAAGCACAAUUAUUUCAACUUACAAUGUAAAUGUAACCAUUUUUGAAAAUUUUUCUGUGUUAUUCUGCUGUGUUGUCAAUGAAAUUUGUGAAAAAAUACCAGUUCCUGUGAUUGCUGAUUUGUUUAACAAAGUGACUAGCAUGUCAAGGAGAAAUCCUGACAUCUAUGGUUUAUAUGCCAUUACGGCGACUUGUUUAAACAUUAUGAAGAAACACAGCUAUAUAUUAAAUUUUGAAUUAAGUAAUGACUUGUUUAAUAUAAACCAAAUUACAUUUGAGUAUUUUAACCAUUUAUUCCAAAACGGAAAAACAUUUGAUGAGAAGUUGUUAGAGACACUAGAGACAAUUAUCUCAAUUCCUGUGAAGUUAGUGCCAUAUUUUUCCCCUGAAUUGCUUAUAUUUUUCAAGAAUAUUUUUUACAAUCAUUUCUAUGGUUCGGAACCAGUUUACAAAAGUUUAAAUGCUAUACAUUCAUGGAUUACAAUUCUUGGACUAGGACAACUGGAAAAUUUUCUUAGAGACCUCAUACCUUCUUUUAGAAAAUUUAUAUUCCAACUUGAAAGUGAUGUUGAUGAUAAAAUAUUUAAGCAUACGUCCAAUUCUUAUAAUUGUAUCAUUAAGCUUUUGGCCUUAUUUCCACAAAACCUGUGCUGCCACUUGUUUGAUCAAGAUCCAUUGGCAGAAGUUCAAUCUUCAUACCGGCUGAGUUUACAUGUGCCAUCAAAAAAACUUAUGGGACUAUCCUUCCAAAUAGAUUGCAUUAUACCACGUGUCAUAUUACUUGUGAGUGAAACUGCCAAUGGAAAACUAAAGCAAUCCUCUUGUGAGCUACUUCAUUCACUUUGUGUAUUCUGUUUAGGCACAAGUUCACAGUUGGAUCUGUUACACAGUACAAAUUUUAAAAUCUUACUCAACAGUAUAAUUGAGACCAUGAUUUCAACUUCAUAUCGCUCUGACGGAGUAGUUUACGAAAUGUUCAAAUGCUUGCUUUUUGAAAUCUGCCAUCUCUUUGCGACAAGGCUUCAUUAUUAUAGUAAUUUUGCAAGCUCUUUUAUUGACAUUAUACUGAGAGGACUGUCGAAUGAAGUCACUUCAGGUGCAAAGAAGUUAAGCAUGAAGUGCAUGAACGAAUUUAUCACCUGGACAUCAAAAAGUGAAAACAAUGAUAUCAUUCUUAAUAACAGUCGAGAACUUGUAACAAAACAAAUUUGCUAUUAUUUCCUUCAUGGCUGUACAAACAGAAGGAGGGGGGCAGCCAUAGCUUUUAAUUGUAUUGCCGAAACAGUUCUUAAGGAAAGAGAUUACGUUAACAAAUACAGCAUUUACAUUAUAUUCUACAUGAUAACAAGUUUAGAAACUUACGAUGAAAAAAAUAACGAAAUGAGAACUUUUUUGGAAUUGUUACAAAUUGCUGUAGUCGAUUUUUUUGAACCCGAUUCGUUCAGAGAGAGGCUACAUCCGGAAGGAAUUGAAGAUACAACCAUGCAAUGUCUUUUAAAGUGGCUACUUGGAAAGUGUACUUCAUACAGUUAUGAGUGUCGUAAUAGUUGUAUUAAAUUGAUAAAUCUAUUUAGUGAUCAUUACAAAGAUGCAAUAGACAUAUCUCAUUUGUUUUCUGAUAAUGAUAAAACUUACCUUAGUCAAUUUAUGAAAAUCAUUGAUAUGGAGCCUCCAAGGCAAGGUGAUGAUUUAUUAAAAUGGCUGUCAACUUUGAACAUUGUGUUGGAAUAUUUGGAAUUUCAUCUUAGUAAAGUUGGCUCAAAUCCACCUUUGCUAGAGUUGAUUUCAAAAUCAAUUCAUGGCUUCUUUGGGGUGCUGGACAAUUUAGAAGGGCAUGACGACUUCGCAUGCAAUAUACCGAAUGAAAUGGUGAACAAAAACAAAAUGAAACAUUUGUGGUAUAAGCGCAGCAUAACAUCAAAUAUUGCAAGAAUAUUUGCAAAUGAUUCAAACUUAUUAGAAAUCACUGUUAAUUCUAAUCCCAGUUCACUUAUCAACUUUAUAUGCAUGUAUUUUACUUGCCCUUUAAAGGUUGGGUAUUUCGGACACCACGCUCAUCUAGAAUUGGCAAAUAUAGUGAAAAUAGUACAAAACUUGUCGAUUGUGAAAAGUACUUUGCUGAAUCAACUAGUCCAAAAGUAUAAUGAGACUGUUGAUUUGGUAUUGAACACACUGCAAAGUUAUUCCUGCCCCACGCAAGAAUAUUUUGACCUCCUUUCUAAGCUGGAGUUUUUAUUUCGAGAGACAAAUAAAUACGACAUAAUAAAGGCUUGGAAAUGGUCUCCUCUCAGGAUUAUGAAUUAUUUGAAACAAUUGGUAAUUAAUGGAAAAAUUAAAUCAAAUCAAAUUAAUUACCAAGCAAGAAAAUUGUUAUCUAAAAUACUCGAUUUUUCAAUUUCACUGACACCUCAAAAUACAUCUUGGUUUUGGAACCUUUUCUGUUUUAACGAAGGCUCUAUGUUGGAAAAUUACUGGUUGAUGACCGAGUUUGAUUUUUUUUUAAUAUUUAAGGAUGUGUUUUGCAGUUACAUUGUUCAAAAUUUUGAUGAAUCAUCCGUCGGAAAUUUAAAUUCUGCAAAAUUGGUCAUUAUUAAAGAAGUAUUGGAAUGGGCUAACAAGGACCAACCUUGCAACACAAUUGGUAUUGGAAAUGCUGUAUUAAAGUAUUUUAUCAAUCAGUGGAGAGAUACGGAAAAGUGGCUGGAAAUGCAUUCAUCGAAGAAAAACGACAUUCUCGACUUUCUCUAUGUUUUGGUGAAAACCAUGCAUGUUUGUUUUUAUGGCAAAUCAAAAUUGGGAAAUUGGAUUUGGUCGGAAUUCGAUUUUACCAAUAUCAAUUAUAUAAAACUGCUUCCUUAUGUUGUUUCAUCCUCUUCUUAUCUAUUAAUUACAAAACUUAAAAACAGCAGCUGUACCGAAACUUUAUUUCAAGAAAAAUUAUGGAACGGUUUUAAAUGUUCUGCCAACACCAGUUUGAUCGCUUUUAUCAUUUCAAACACUCUAAAGGAGAAAGGUGAAGCACACUUCUCUACACAUGACAUAUCGAAUAUGCUUUCGAGGAUGCCAAAAGAAACAGAAAACACUUUGAUUUGUGAUAGCUACAAUGCGAUCUUGUGGAACGAUGGUGAUUUGGAAAAAAGAUUACAUCUAUUGAAAAAUAUAUUCGUCCCUUUAUGCUAUAAGGCAGGUUUAGAAUCCAUAACAAGAUUUUAUGUAGAGAAACUUAAAGAAUUAAAUACGAUAAUAUCAACAGACAUUAUUCAAUCUGUUGCUCCUCCUAACGAGGAGGAAAAAAGUCUCAUCAGUAAAAAGACUAUAGCCUUUAUUAUUCUAGAGACUAUGUUUGGAGUUCUCAAAAUUGAAUAUGUUCUCAAAUGUAUAAAGCAAGGAUUUAAAACUGACAAUGCAAGAAAUUUGGUUAAACAAAUGCUUCUUAGAGCGUAUAACAUUAGAAAGUGUAAACCGCACGAGCUUGGUGGGAAAACUUACUGUGAAUACUGGCGGUCGCUUCAGUGCGCUGCAUUUAAUUGUACAGCUGCAAUUAUUUGCAAUACUAAAAACGGCAGUGGUGAUGAAAUGUUUUAUGCAAAGUUUAUUUUUAAAGAGGAUCGUGAUAAAUGGAUGAUAUGGGAUAACAUUACCUAUAAACAAGAUGAUGUCGCCUUUGUUUCUUUCGAAGAACGUAAAAGAUCAGCUAAAAUUAAAGUCUCGACAUCAUUACAGUACAAAGAUAAAUUAAAAUUAGAGGAGAAUAUUUACGAUAAAGUUGGGUCAUCUAGUUUCUCACUGUCAACAUUUAGUCAGGAUUGUAAAACAUUUGAUUUUGUCGGUUCCGCUGAUAUUCCAGCUAUGAAUCGGGAAUGCAGCUACCAAGAAUUUCAAUUUAAAAAAGACCAAUUCAACGAACACGAAUGUAUGGGGAUUUUGUGUGGAGUUUUACAUCAAAUGAUUAAUAUUGGUGUUAUUAAGAAAAAUGACCCUAGCAUGCCGGUGUGGAUAUCUUCAUUACUUAAUUCUUUCACUUUUCCCACUUUAAGAGUAUAUGGUAAAUUAUUAAUUCUUAAGAUGAUUUUGAACACAAGAGAAAUAUUUAAACCAUACGCACAGUACUGGUUAUUGCCGAUAAUAGUCACAGCUAAUUCCAUCAUUCCUCCUUUACCAAAUCAAAAGCUGAAUUACAUGCUAUCUGACAUUGUUGUAAUGCUUCUUUCAUGGCGAGAUGCCGCCCUUCCAAAACCUACAUUUCAAAUAUGGGUGCUGAUAGAGAAAAUUAUUUCAUCUUCACCACCAAAUAUGGACAAACCUGAACUCAAGCAAAAUAUGUAUCUAAUUACAGAAAUAAUGAUUCACUGGGGCUCUAGCCUCAUAAAACCCAAAUUAGAUUCUCUUAGACAGCUGAUAACAUCUAAAGACCUGCGACAUAAUAAAAUGGGACUUCAAAUUUUUCAACUUCUUCUUAAACACGGGGUUCAAGUUUCUUCGAGUGUUAGUGAGGAGACAAACUUUGAUGAAUUUAUGCAAUUAAUUGAUAAUGUUGAUCAAGACAUAUUUAUAUUAUCGGCUGAAAUUUUGGGACUUUUAUUGAGACUUUCUGUUAGUGAAGAAUCAAGAAUGGAAAGGCAAAUAAAAUUAGUCGACGUUCUGUCUAGAAUGCAUAUAAAACAUAAAGCAAAGUUUUUUGUCAUUUUUUACCAUAUUCAACUACAUUAUCCACAGUUAUGCCAUAUGUUCAUUUCCCACAUAAUUACAAAUCUGAAGCAUCAGUGUUACAACGAUACUUACAUCAAAUCUCUCAAUAUACUAAACAGUUUCUUAGCAGAAGGGCCAAACCUGGAUAAAAAUGUUUUUCAACAAUUAAAAGAUUGUUUUACAUCAAUCAAUAAUGAAGAUCAAAAAGUGUUAUGCCCCAUGCUGCAAGUUACCUUGACGUGCUUUCAAAAGUACACCGACUUUUCUCAUUUGCUAAGUUUUGAAAAUUUAAAAGUACUUAUAGCUCAGCAAAGUUUAAAUGAAGAAACACGAGGGAAAUUAUGUGAUGUCUUAGUUUCCAUGUAUGAAAGAUAUCAUGUACCUAACAGCCGAGAAGAAAGUGAAUGUAUGAAAGAAAUAGAGGCAUAUCUGUUCGUUAAACUUUUUGAUGAAAGUGCACAAAUUCAGAGUAAAAUGUUGCAAUUUUGGGUUAAAGCUGGUGUUCUCCCUCCUGAUGUGGAAAAAGCAGUUCUCUUUUUAUUAGAAUACGCACUAAAAGUUUCUUAUCAAAAAAACUUAUUAGGCAUAUUGAUCAAUGUGCUAAUCAAGUACCUGGAGCAAUUUGUAAAUUUUUCCGAACAGGUUUUCCAGUUUGCUCUCAUUGACUACAAUAAUGGACAGAUUUGUCAAAUUUACAACAAGCCAUACAAAGUUAAUGAAGGUGAGAUACUGCAUGCACCAAAGUUUGUCAUUUCAACGGACAAUUUGAGUGUUUAUAACAAGUGCCAAAAAGAAAAAAAAGGUAGUACUUGUGAAAAUUUGGAGAGACAAUAUAGAUACUACCAUGGAGAUUAUCCGUAUACCAAAAUUGCUCUAAUUGACAUAUUAAAGCCAUUGUCUUCUUUAGCAUUGUUCGAUGAAAAUUUUGCUCAAAAACUUUUCUUAGCAUUGGCUAAUGGAAUUUGUGAGUUGAUUAAGAAAGACCUUUCCCGCUGGGCUGACUUUAAGACCAACUUUACUGCGUUAUUCAAUAUAAUAGACAGAAAGCAACCUACGGUGAAACAUAAAAUUUAUCACGUUAUGUUAGAGAUUGCAAUUAGCAAUGAUAUCUGUUUCAAUUUUAACAAUACAAUAACAGAUUUGUGUAUAAGCAAUAGAUUAGAAGAACUGGGCAUACUUUUUGCUGAAAACUGUAUUGUUAAUGACAAUAGAGAAGAAGUAUAUGAGGAAUCUUCGUCUAAAAGAAUAAAGCUGGACCCUAGUUGCAUUAAGGACGAGGAACCGUAUAUUUCAACAAUUAUAAGGUUGUACCUUAGCAUCAAUGAGGAUGAUGUGGCUACAGAUAUAUUUGACGACUAUGUCUCCAAGGAAGAAAUAUACAGAAAUCAGUCUCAACAGUACCUCAGUUCUUUAUUUAAACUAAAGAAAUGUUAUGCACUUUUUGAUUGGGAGUCAUUGGAUAAAUUACUAUUUCCUGAAGGUGAAAGUUGUAGUUCAUUUUGGAACAGUCAUGAUUUAAUUUCAAGAAAAACUGAUAUAUUUCCAUUUAUUGUAAAAUCAACUGUGCAGCAAGCUAUUACUGGACGAUGUGACGCUCAACUGUUAAAACUUGAAAAAUUGACUCCUUUCAUGGAGGAUUUUGGGGCAGAAUUAUCUUUACUUUAUCUUUUAAAAGAAGAUGUUACAAAUUUGAGACUCAGUGCGCAACUGUCUUUGAGGAACCACAUUAACAAUUUUAAGAGGGAGUUCUCAGAUGUGAAAUUUUUUUCAAUACAUGGAUACAUUUUGAAACUGAAAAGUCUCAUCGAUUUAUAUAUGUUGUCAAGGGCAGAGAAUUUUUACCUGACCCAUUUUGUGGAUGAGUAUUGCGAUGUCAGAUUAAAAUUCUAUGGGAAUCUUUUGAACUAUGUUGACUACAGAGCCUUUUGCAGGGAAAUUCUACAUAUUAAUGGAUUCAAUUGUACAGCUGUGAAUUCAAGAGAAUGGGCUAUUGAAAUGAUAGAUUUUGCAGUUUCUAAACAUAAGUUUUACAUGGCAAGAAAAUACUUAGUGAAGUUGCACAAAAAAUUGGAUGACAACAUGGAAACACCUGUUAACAAAAUCAUCAAUCAAAUUAAACUGGGUGAAGUAGGCUUGCUGAAAGUACAAAUGAUAAAUGAGCCUACAUUGAAAUUAGAGAGUUUGAAAACGAAUUGGAAAGGAUUAAGUGAACUAAUAGCGUUAGUCAACGAAAAUGCUGACUGUUUUUCCGAAAGAAAAACGAUUCAGAUCAUUAAUCGCUAUAUAGCAGUUUUAUGUGCUGAGCUGAUCGAGUUGAAUUCUGAAUACGACUUUACGGAAAAUAUCAGUGAGAUUGAAAGGACAAUUCAAUCAAUUUCACCUAAUGCUGUUAGAGUAUCAGGGCAUUUUACAUUCUACAACUUAGGAGAAAAGGAGUUAUUGUUUCAGUUUGGACUGCAGUGUUUAAUAAAUACUGCGGAAUAUGAUGAAGGCAUAAAUGCUGGUAAAGCGUACAUGUCUGUCGCUAUGUUUUGCAAGAAAUACUUUACAAGAUUUGCAUACCGUGAACAAAAUAUUGAGAUUUUUAUUGCUCAGUGUAUAUUACGCUCUAUGAAACUUGGAUGCGAACAGGCACGGCAGUUGUUACCUUUGAUAUUUACAUAUAAAAAUGUGUUUAUUGAAGAGAACUGCUUGGAGGAAUUUGGUACGGACAUGGAUGUUGAUGAUUCCACCCCAUGCUAUAACUGAUGGUCUUUGAAAAGGCUGUGACUCAUGCAUGGCACAAGAAGCAAAGCGUCUCCACAUCUUCUCUACACAUCCUGACGGGCUGAGAAGACACCUCUCCGUAAUGGGUAUUCUACCGGAUCCCUUUGCGAAAUAAAAGAAGAAACGGCAAAGCACUACCUCACAGAAUGUGAUAGUUAUAUCAAGUACCUAAGUGGAUGGUGUUUAAAUGGUUGCCCCAACUUUUUGUCAAGUUGACUGAAUCUUCAUCAAAAGUCUUGUUACCU
This 9412-nucleotide unclassified non-coding RNA is filed under the name Cimex lectularius (bed bug). Its description in RNAcentral is "dNA-dependent protein kinase catalytic subunit-like, transcript variant X7". The record is from RNAcentral. Lineage: Eukaryota; Metazoa; Arthropoda; Insecta; Hemiptera; Cimicidae.